Molecule: long non-coding RNA, 586 nt
Organism: Salarias fasciatus (jewelled blenny)
Lineage: Eukaryota; Metazoa; Chordata; Actinopteri; Blenniiformes; Blenniidae
Exons: 3
Source: RefSeq, a predicted model, not a curated record
CGGACAACGACAUGGAAGACGAUGGAAGUGCUUUUUCAGGGAUGGAUACCACAACAGUUGCAGUACUGAAAGCUGCUAAUGUCAGCACAGACAUGCUUUCCAGUCUCUCCAAGGAGGACUUGCGAGACCUCUUUCCAGGGCCUGAGCACUUUAUCCGAAGGAUGGCCAUUUGGAGGACCAUACAUGGUGGAAAUGAGUAUGAACAAUUAGCCUACAACAACCAGCCUCACCCAGGCACCUCUGGAUGUGAUGCCACCUCUAUUCCCACUACCCCAACCCCAUCCACCCCUCCAUCCAUCCCCGCACCAGGAGACGGUGCCAGCAGAACUGUACAGCUUGUAUGUCCACAGUUUGUUGUUUACACAGACACAGAGUUGGAGCAGUCGAGAACCGCCUAUUUUGAAAAGCAACGUGCUGGACAAGAAGGCGACUAUACACUCUCCAAAGAGCUUCGCUGCCGCUUAAUAAGGAAUACAGUAACAAGCAUGCUUGCCAUUAAGACAGCUGCUGAGGAUGACUUCCAAUAUCCAUGCUGCAGAGAGCUAUCUGCGAUGGCUAAGCGUCUCAUUGAGUACUACCCGAUGCU